UGGGGGUCACUGUCACACCCUGAGUGACACUGGGGACACUGGGGACAGCGUGGGGGGCAUCUGGAACCUUCGAGGGGUGCUCAGUAAUGCAUGGCACAGGGUGGGGGUCACUGUCACACCCUGAGGGUCACUGUCACACCCUGAGUGACACUGGGGACACUGGGGACAGGGACACUGGGGGGCAUCUGGAACCUUCGAGGGGUGCUGAGCAACGCCUGGCACAGGGUGGGGGUCACUGUCACACCCUGAGGGUCACUGUCACCCCCUGAGUGUCAC
Poecile atricapillus (Black-capped chickadee) is the source of this 276-nucleotide long non-coding RNA. RefSeq lists it as uncharacterized. NCBI's taxonomy places the organism in Eukaryota, Metazoa, Chordata, Aves, Passeriformes, Paridae. The transcript is spliced from 3 exons. The record is from RefSeq and is a predicted model, not a curated record.